GAGAAUUUGCUUCACUUUUCGCAUGUUAGGGUAAUGAGUAGCACCAACCCUGACUCUAUAGUGUUAAAUGCGAUAUGAGUGCCAACAUUAAGGGAGAAAUUGGUACUUAACCUAAUAAAAAUAAAAAANGUUGAAAGAAUUGAAAAAAAUAGAAAACAAAUUCCUGCCCUCUUUAACCAUUGUAGCUAUAGUUGUGAAAAUUCAUUGUGUUAGCUACUAUACAUUUCCCCGAUCAAUAUGAUUCUAUACUAUAUGGGCACGUUUGGUUGACCUGAUUAAAGCCCAUGAUUUACUAAUGC
This 299-nucleotide long non-coding RNA is filed under the name Salvia miltiorrhiza (redroot sage). RNAcentral describes it as "long non-coding RNA (SMIL_LNC011093)". Lineage: Eukaryota; Viridiplantae; Streptophyta; Magnoliopsida; Lamiales; Lamiaceae. The record is from RNAcentral.